AGGUCGUACAUGUAUGCAUUUCGAUUGAGACAACGUUACAAACCUUUCUCCGAUAAACAAUUUCGGAGGGCAAGUUCCUGGUGCCAGCAGCCGCGGUAAUUCCCAGCUCCAAUAGCGUAUAUUAACGUUGUUGCAGUUAAAAAGCUCGUAGUUGAAAUGAAGGGUGGUUGUGUAAUGAAUACAUUCGUGUAUUUUGUUAUUCUACUACCCUCCUUCUAAAUUCGAUAUAUGAGUAUUAAUUUACUUGUAUAUGGUUUUAGACGUUUACUGUGAGAAAAUUAGAGUGUUCAAAGCAGGCAUUUGCUUGAAUAUAUUAGCAUGGAAUAAUCAUGUAUGAUUUUCAUGAUGUAUUUGAUUGGUUUGGUUCAUGAGAAUAAGAUUAAAAGGGACAGUUGGGGGUAUUCAUAUUCAAUAGUCAGAGGUGAAAUUCUCGGAUUUAUGGAAGAUGAACAAGUGCGAAAGCAUUUACCAAGGAUGUUUUCAUUAAUCAAGAACGAAAGUUAGGGGAUCGAAGAGGAUUAGAUACUCGUAAAUCCUUAAAAAAA
This 545-nucleotide ribosomal RNA is filed under the name Blastocystis sp. subtype 3. RNAcentral's name for it is "bacterial SSU rRNA". It matches the Rfam family "Eukaryotic small subunit ribosomal RNA", at positions 491 to 1035 of the family's 1831-position model. The record is from RNAcentral. Lineage: Eukaryota; Bigyra; Opalinata; Blastocystidae.